CAACUCUCCCUCCUCACCCAUGCAGUUCGCCCCCUGCACAUUGUUGUUUGUUUUUGGUCAACAACGACUCUAUCCACAACACAGUGUUGUGUGCCCGGCAGUGCAACUCACUUCAUCGGUGUUUUUUUGUUCAAAUGCAGGUCACUUCGUCCACAUUACAGGUGGUUCAACGGGUGACCUGCAGUUCACCCAGCGGCCACCACGAGCCCCCGACGUCCUACAUGCUGUAGUUUUGGGUUGAUGUUGAAUUGAUCGAUGCUGAAGGCCCCGUGCAGUCUGGUGUGGCGUAAGCAUGCAGUACGGGCGGUGGCGAUGUAGCUCCUGUAGUUCAUGUAUGCGGCGUGUGCGGUUUGUUUGCAGCCCAUGUGCACGAUACAUGCAGGUUGUGUGUGUGUGUGUGUCGAUGUUCUGUUCGCUGGGAAACUACAGAAGAAAAAUGAUCAAUUUUUUAAGUUCACUUUCUUCUUGAAUGUGUGAGAGAAAAUGUAAAAAUUUAUUUGUGUGAGAGAGAAAUGUCUCUCGCGCGGUUCGUGUGUGAAGUUUUGUAUGUAUUCUUUUAUUUGUAGAAAAGGUGUCUGGUUCAUUUUGUGGUGGUUGGUGCUUCACUUUGUGAAAAAAGGAGAAAAAAGUAAUUCGAAACAAAAACAUCAGAGGCACCACUUGGUAAACAGAAAAGUGCCUGGUAUGUAAAUUUAUUAAGCUCACUUUGUAAUCUCAUGUGGCUCACCUCUCGAUAGUUUUGCGGUCCACUUACGCCCGACGUGAAG
RNAcentral lists this long non-coding RNA (767 nucleotides) under Triticum aestivum (bread wheat). RNAcentral's name for it is "long non-coding RNA (TAES_LNC022096)". The record is from RNAcentral. Lineage: Eukaryota; Viridiplantae; Streptophyta; Magnoliopsida; Poales; Poaceae.